UGGCUCUAGCAUCGAUGAAGAACGCAGCGAAAUGCGAUAAGUAAUGUGAAUUGCAGAAUUUAGUGAAUCAUCGAAUCUUUGAACGCACAUUGCGCCCUUUGGCAUUCCGAAGGGCAUGCCUGUCCGAGCGUCACAAGUCCAAUCAAGCACGUCUUGGUGUUUGGCCGUGCGGGCUCCCGCAGGCCGCAAAGUCUCACAGUGGCCCCGCGCAGCCUCCAGCGUUAUAACUACGCUCGCUGUCAGGCGCAGCGGCCGUCGCUCGUCAACCCCUCUCAGGAUGACCUCGGAUCAGGUAGGGUUACCCGCUGA
This 309-nucleotide unclassified non-coding RNA is filed under the name uncultured fungus. Its description in RNAcentral is "partial contains 5.8S ribosomal RNA and internal transcribed spacer 2". The stretch from base 1 to 133 matches the Rfam family "5.8S ribosomal RNA", at positions 22 to 154 of the family's 154-position model. Lineage: Eukaryota; Fungi. The record is from RNAcentral.